This 404-nucleotide ribosomal RNA is filed under the name Actinomycetes bacterium. RNAcentral describes it as "Actinobacteria bacterium partial 16S ribosomal RNA". It matches the Rfam family "Bacterial small subunit ribosomal RNA", at positions 355 to 776 of the family's 1533-position model. The record is from RNAcentral. Lineage: Bacteria; Bacillati; Actinomycetota; Actinomycetes.
UGGGGAAUAUUGGACAAUGGGCGCAAGCCUGAUCCAGCCAUGCCGCGUGAGUGAUGAGGGCCCUAGGGUUGUAAAGCUCUUUCACCGGUGAAGAUAAUGACGGUAACCGGAGAAGAAGCCCCGGCUAACUUCGUGCCAGCAGCCGCGGUAAUACGAAGGGGGCUAGCGUUGUUCGGAUUUACUGGGCGUAAAGCGCACGUAGGCGGACUAUUAAGUCAGGGGUGAAAUCCCGGGGCUCAACCCCGGAACUGCCUUUGAUACUGGUAGUCUUGAGUUCGAGAGAGGUGAGUGGAAUUCCGAGUGUAGAGGUGAAAUUCGUAGAUAUUCGGAGGAACACCAGUGGCGAAGGCGGCUCACUGGCUCGAUACUGACGCUGAGGUGCGAAAGCGUGGGGAGCAAACAGG